RNAcentral lists this non-coding RNA (271 nucleotides) under Roseburia inulinivorans. Its description in RNAcentral is "T-box sequence". It matches the Rfam family "T-box leader". From Rfam's summary of the family: Uncharged tRNA acts as the effector for transcription antitermination of genes in the T-box leader family. T-boxes are found upstream of many aminoacyl-tRNA synthetase genes and some amino acid biosynthetic genes usually in Gram-positive bacteria. The record is from RNAcentral. Lineage: Bacteria; Bacillati; Bacillota; Clostridia; Lachnospirales; Lachnospiraceae.
GAAAAACCGUUGAGAAAGAGUAGUAAGUAAUCUGUUGAUAUUACAGAGAGCUGCAGGUGGUGGGAUUGCAGUAUGGAUCAUUUUACUGAAUGGACUUUCGAGGGUGACCUGAACAACAUACAUGAAGCAUACAGAGCCAUGUAUCAGCAGUAGGAGUCACCGGGAACCGAACCCGUUAUCAAUCAGGCGUGUAUGAUAGUACAUGAGAGAGUGGACCGGAUGGUCAAGAUGAGUGGUACCGCGAUAAUAAGAUUUUAUUACCGUCUCAAGC